AGUCGGGCGAGAAAAGGUAGCAAUACCUUAGUAAAGCGGCGCACGGGUGAGUAACACGUGGAUAACCUGCCUCGAAGUGGGGAAUAACCCCGGGAAACCGGAGCUAAUACCGCAUAAUCUGAUGAGAUCUGUGGAUUUUGUCAGCAAAGGAGCAAUUCGCUUUGAGAGGGGUCCGCGGCUGAUUAGCUAGUUGGUGAGGUAAUGGCUCACCAAGGCCACGAUCAGUAGCCGGUCUGAGAGGACGGUCGGCCACACUGGAACUGAGACACGGUCCAGACUCCUACGGGAGGCAGCAGUGGGGAAUUUUUCGCAAUGGGGGCAACCCUGACGAAGCAACGCCGCGUGGGUGAUGAAGUAUUUCGGUACGUAAAACCCUUUCGACGGGGACGAAACCGCAAGGUUGACGGUACCCGUAGAAGAAGCCCCGGCUAACUCCGUGCCAGCAGCCGCGGUAAUACGGGGGGGGCAAGCGUUGUUCGGAAUUACUGGGCGUAAAGGGCGCGUAGGCGGCUCGCUAAGUUGGAUGUGAAAACUCUGGGCUUAACCCAGAGCCUGCAUCCAAAACUGGCAAGCUUGAGUACUGGAGGGGAAAGCGGAAUUCCUGGUGUAGCGGUGAAAUGCGUAGAUAUCAGGAGGAACACCGGUGGCGAAGGCGGCUUUCUGGACAGUAACUGACGCUGAGGCGCGAAAGCUAGGGGAGCAAACAGGAUUAGAUACCCUGGUAGUCCUAGCCCUAAACGAUGAAUACUUGGUGUGAGGGGGAUUGAGUCCCUUCGUGCCGUAGCUAACGCAAUAAGUAUCCCGCCUGGGGAGUACGGUCGCAAGGCUGAAGCUCAAAGGAAUUGACGGGGGCCCGCACA
RNAcentral lists this ribosomal RNA (860 nucleotides) under uncultured bacterium. RNAcentral describes it as "bacterial SSU rRNA". It matches the Rfam family "Bacterial small subunit ribosomal RNA", at positions 60 to 927 of the family's 1533-position model. The record is from RNAcentral.